Molecule: ribosomal RNA, 478 nt
Filed under: uncultured bacterium
Lineage: Bacteria
Description: partial 16S ribosomal RNA
Rfam family: Bacterial small subunit ribosomal RNA
Source: RNAcentral
GAUGAACGCUGGCGGCGUGCUUAACACAUGCAAGUCGAACGAGAAAUGUAGACGGAAACCUUCGGGCGGAAGCCUUCAUUUCGAUUGGCGGACGGGUGAGUAACGCGUGGGUAACCUGCCUCAUCCAGGGGGAUAACAGUUUGAAACGACUGUUAAUACCGCAUCAGACCACAUCAUCGCAUGAUGCGGGGGUAAAAACUUCGGUGGUAAGAGAUGGACCCGCGUUCGAUUAGCCAGUUGGCGGGGUAACGGCCCACCAAAGCGACGAUCGAUAGCCGAUCUGAGAGGAUGACCGGCCACAUUGGGACUGAGACACGGACCAAACUCCUACGGGAGGCAGCAGUGGGGAAUAUUGCACAAUGGGGGAAACCCUGAUGCAGCGACGCCGCGUGAGUGAAGAAGUACUUCGGUAUGUAAAGCUCUAUCAGCAGGGAAGAAAAUGACGGUACCUGAGUAAGAAGCCCCGGCUAACUACGUG